AGAGCGAACGCUGGCGGCAGGCUUAACACAUGCAAGUCGAGCGGGCGUAGCAAUACGUCAGCGGCAGACGGGUGAGUAACGCGUGGGAACGUACCUUUUGGUUCGGAACAACCCAGGGAAACUUGGGCUAAUACCGGAUAAGCCCUUACGGGGAAAGAUUUAUCGCCGAAAGAUCGGCCCGCGUCUGAUUAGCUAGUUGGUGAGGUAAUGGCUCACCAAGGCGACGAUCAGUAGCUGGUCUGAGAGGAUGAUCAGCCACAUUGGGACUGAGACACGGCCCAAACUCCUACGGGAGGCAGCAGUGGGGAAUAUGGACAAUGGGCGCAAGCCUGAUCCAGCCAUGCCGCGUGAGUGAUGAAGGCCCUAGGGUUGUAAAGCUCUUUGUGGCGGGAAGAUAAUGACGGUACCGCAAGAAUAACGCCCCGGCUAACUUCGUGCCAGCAGCCGC
Molecule: ribosomal RNA, 448 nt
Filed under: uncultured bacterium
Lineage: Bacteria
Description: SSU rRNA
Rfam family: Bacterial small subunit ribosomal RNA
Source: RNAcentral